GUCUCUGUGGGGCAUUGGUUAGCGCGUUAGACUGUUAAUCUAAAGGUUGGUGGUUCGAGCCCCCCAGAGACA
This is a non-coding RNA of Oncorhynchus kisutch (coho salmon), 72 nucleotides long. The record is from the annotation of a RefSeq genome assembly. Lineage: Eukaryota; Metazoa; Chordata; Actinopteri; Salmoniformes; Salmonidae.